UUCGUAUUUCUAUCGCUGAAUGAAUCUGAUAUUAUAGCACGGCAAUUAAUUGGAGUCGUUGAAGGAGCUCAGGUUAUUGCGAGAAGCUGGAACUCCCCCAGGAAAGUAUAGCUUCUAGUUAGGUUUAAUCUGAAAUUCUGGAAAGCACAGUAUAUUCGCACCGCGUAACGAACCCGCAUUAAUUAAGUUCCGCUUCCGUCCGCGAACGGAAGUAACGAAGAAAGUUCGGGGGGCCAGUUAGUCCUCCCUCUGCAAUGCGAAUUUCACUACCAAAUUUUCAUCUUGUACAUUAGAUAAAAUCCAAAAAUUCAAAAGUAAAAGGAUACAAGAACUCUAAAGAUUCAAAGAUUUAAGGAUUUAAAGAUUAACAGAUCCCAAUAUUCAAAGAUUCAAAUAUUUCAAGAUUAAAAAAUUGAAAAAUUCAAUGAUUCGUAGAUGCAAAAAUUCAGACAUUCAAAGAAUGAUCAUCGAAUUUAUUAAAGAAUUCUAUUA
Molecule: long non-coding RNA, 492 nt
Organism: Apis dorsata (giant honeybee)
Lineage: Eukaryota; Metazoa; Arthropoda; Insecta; Hymenoptera; Apidae
Exons: 2
Source: RefSeq, a predicted model, not a curated record